This 86-nucleotide transfer RNA is filed under the name Candidatus Saccharimonadota bacterium. Its description in RNAcentral is "Candidatus Saccharibacteria bacterium tRNA-Leu". It matches the Rfam family "tRNA". From Rfam's summary of the family: Transfer RNA (tRNA) molecules are approximately 80 nucleotides in length. Their secondary structure includes four short double-helical elements and three loops (D, anti-codon, and T loops). The record is from RNAcentral. Lineage: Bacteria; Candidatus Saccharimonadota.
GCGCAGAUGUUGGAAUAGGUAGACAAGCGACACUUAAAAUGUCGUGCCCAAAAGGCGUGCGGGUUCGAUCCCCGCUCUGCGCACCA